CCCAGGAGCCACAAGUGGCAACCACCUUUAUUGGGCCUAAAGCGUCCGUAGCCGGUUUUGUGAAUUUUCUGUGAAAUCGUUGCGCUUAACGUAACGACGUGCAGAAAACACUGCAAGACUUGGGACCGGGAGGAGUCAGAGGUAUUUUGGGGGGAGCGGUAAAAUGCUAUAAUCCCCGAAGGACCACCUGUGGCGAAGGCGUCUGACUAGAACGGAUCCGACGGUGAGGGACGAAAGCUAGGGGAGCAAUCCGG
Molecule: ribosomal RNA, 254 nt
Filed under: uncultured bacterium
Lineage: Bacteria
Description: partial 16S ribosomal RNA
Rfam family: Archaeal small subunit ribosomal RNA
Source: RNAcentral